AUGGCUGACGACCCCAACGGGCCGCCAGUGGGCUGGCAGCACCAUGCCUUCGGCCCCAGCCUGCCCUCCCGUCCACCACCACCCGCCACACAGCAUGGGCAGAAAGACGAAUCUGUCGGAGCAGUCAAGAUAUGUGACUUCACCGAAGACCAGACCGCAGAGUUCAAGGAGGCCUUCCAGCUGUUUGACCGAACAGGUGAUGGCAAGAUCCUGUACAGCCAGUGUGGGGACGUGAUGAGGGCCCUGGGCCAGAACCCCACCAAUGCCGAGGUGCUCAAAGUCCUGGGGAACCCCAAGAGUGAUGAGAUGAAAUGUGAAGGUGCUGGACUUUGAGCACUUUCUGCCCAUGCUGCAGACAGUGGCCAAGGACAAGGACCAGGGCACCUUUGAGGAUUAUGUCGAAGAACUUCGGGUUUUUGACAAGGAAGGAAAUGGCACCGUCAUGGGUGCUAAAAUCUGGCAUGUUCUUGUCACACUGGGUGAAAAGAUGACAGAGGAAGAAGUAGAGAUGCUGGUGGCAGAGCACGAGGACAGCAAUGGUUGUAUCAACUACGAAGAGCUCGUCGCGUGGUGCUGA
Saimiri boliviensis boliviensis (Bolivian squirrel monkey) is the source of this 577-nucleotide non-coding RNA. Lineage: Eukaryota; Metazoa; Chordata; Mammalia; Primates; Cebidae. The record is from RefSeq and is a predicted model, not a curated record.